RNAcentral lists this ribosomal RNA (305 nucleotides) under uncultured bacterium. RNAcentral describes it as "bacterial SSU rRNA". It matches the Rfam family "Bacterial small subunit ribosomal RNA", at positions 335 to 656 of the family's 1533-position model. The record is from RNAcentral.
GGUCCUACGGGGCGCAGCAGUCGGGAAUAUUGCGCAAUGGAGGAAACUCUGACGCAGUGACGCCGCGUAUAGGAAGAAGUUUUUCGGAAUGUAAACUAUUGUCGUUAGGGAAGAGAAAGGACAGUACCUAAGGAGGAAGCUCCGGCUAACUACGUGCCAGCAGCCGCGGUAAUACGUAGGGGGCAAGCGUUAUCCGGAAUUACUGGGUGUAAAGGGUGAGUAGGCGGCAUGGUAAGCCAGAUGUGAAAGCCUUGGGCUUAACCCAAGGAUUGCAUUUGGAACUAUCAAGCUAGAGUACAGGAGAG